Oreochromis aureus is the source of this 540-nucleotide long non-coding RNA. NCBI's taxonomy places the organism in Eukaryota, Metazoa, Chordata, Actinopteri, Cichliformes, Cichlidae. The record is from Ensembl.
GCUCAUAGUACAACCCAGACAGUGGAACAAGUGGCUGAAGUGCUGUCAUGAAUCGUGGUACGAUUGCCCGUAGUUUACGGAAGAGGUACUGUGUGGAAAGAAAGUCAGAGGAUAGUGGCUUGGGUAAGAAGAGCGUGGAGACCCAGGGUGAAGAAGAGGAGGUGAGUUCCUUGCAAAAAGGAAAGUCAGAGGAUAGUGGAUUGGGUGAGAAGAGUGUAGAGAAUCAGUGUGAAGAAGAGAAUAUGAGUUCCUUGCAAAAAGGAAAGUCAGAGGAUAGUGGAUUGGAUGAGAAGAGUGUGGAGACCCAGCAUGAAGAAGAGGAGGAAAGGUUAUCAGAGGAAGUGGAUUAGAUGAGGAGGGACUGUUGCACCCAGAUGAAGAAGAGCCAGAAGACAUGGAUGUCACAGUUCCAAUGGAUGACCAGGAAAUCCAACUGCCACGUCUGGACAGAUGUUCAAAGUGUUUCUGCUUUCAUCAUUUCAAUUUUGUGUUAGAACAAAAAACCUUAAAGGCUGAGUAACAAAAAAGUUCAAGACACCC